AACGCGAAGAACCUUACCCAGGUUUGAAAUACAGGAGACGAUAUCAGAGAUGAUAUUUUCCGCAAGGACUGCUGUACAGGUGCUGCAUGGCUGUCGUCAGCUCGUGCCGUGAGGUGUUGGGUUAAGUCCCGCAACGAGCGCAACCCUUACUCAUAGUUGCUACCCGCAAGGGAGAACUCUAUGAGGACUGCUCCGGAUAACGGAGAGGAAGGUGGGGAUGAGGUCAAGUCAGCAUGGCCUUUAUGUCCAGGGCUACACACGUGUUACAAUGCGCGCCACAAUGCGUCGCGAACCCGCGAGGGGGAGCCAAUCGCAAAAAAGCGCGCUCAGUUCGGAUUGCAGUCUGCAACUCGACUGCAUGAAGCCGGAAUCGCUAGUAAUGGCGCAUCAGAACGGCGCCGUGAAUACGUUCCCGGGCCUUGUACACACCGACGCGUA
Molecule: ribosomal RNA, 438 nt
Filed under: uncultured bacterium
Lineage: Bacteria
Description: bacterial SSU rRNA
Rfam family: Bacterial small subunit ribosomal RNA
Source: RNAcentral